Molecule: ribosomal RNA, 253 nt
Filed under: uncultured bacterium
Lineage: Bacteria
Description: partial 16S ribosomal RNA
Rfam family: Bacterial small subunit ribosomal RNA
Source: RNAcentral
UACGUAGGGGGCAAGCGUUAUCCGGAUUUACUGGGUGUAAAGGGAGCGUAGACGGCACUGCAAGUCUGGAGUGAAAGCCCGAGGCCCAACCACGGGACUGCUCUGGAAACUGCGGGGCUGGAGUGCAGGAGGGGUAAGCGGAAUUCCUAGUGUAGCGGUGAAAUGCGUAGAUAUUAGGAGGAACACCGGUGGCGAAGACGGCUUACUGGACUGUAACUGACGUUGAGGCUCGAAGGCGUGGGGAGCAAACAGG